This 627-nucleotide ribosomal RNA is filed under the name Pseudomonas sp. RNAcentral's name for it is "bacterial SSU rRNA". It matches the Rfam family "Bacterial small subunit ribosomal RNA", at positions 60 to 661 of the family's 1533-position model. Lineage: Bacteria; Pseudomonadati; Pseudomonadota; Gammaproteobacteria; Pseudomonadales; Pseudomonadaceae. The record is from RNAcentral.
AAUCGAGCGGCGGCGGGGCCUUCGGGAUGCCGGCUAGCGGCGGACGGGGUGAGUAAUGCCGCAGGAAUCUGCCCUGGAUAGUGGGGGAUAACUCGGGGAAACUCGUAGCUAAUACCGCAUGCCUCCUACGGGAGAAAGCGGCGGGAUCUUGACGACCUCGGCGCUACCGGAUGAGCCUAGGUCAGGAUUAGCUAGUUGGUGAGGUAAAGGCUCACCAAGGCGAGGAUCCGUGGCUGGUCUGAGAGGAUGAGCAGCCACACUGGAACUGAUACACGGUCCACACUCCUACAGGAGGCAGCAGUGGGGAAUAUUGUACAAUGGGCGAAAGCCUGAUCCAGCCAUGCGGCGUGUGUGAAGAAUGUCUUCGGAUUGUAAAGCGCUUGAAGUUGGGAGGAAGGGCAGUAAGCUGAUACCUUGCAGUUUUGACGUUACCGACAGAAUAGGCACCGGCCAAACUUCGUAGCCAGCAGCCGCGGUAAUACGAAGGGUGCAAGCGUUAAUCGGGAAUUACUGGGGCGUAAAGCGCGCGUAGGUGGUUUUGAUAAGUUGGGAUGUGAAAAGCCCCCGGGGCUCAACCUGGGGAAUUGCAUCCAAAAACUGUUCUGACUAGAAGUAUGGGCAGAAGGG